RNAcentral lists this transfer RNA (71 nucleotides) under Nematalosa nasus (Bloch's gizzard shad). RNAcentral's name for it is "tRNA-Gln". It matches the Rfam family "tRNA". Rfam says of the family: Transfer RNA (tRNA) molecules are approximately 80 nucleotides in length. Their secondary structure includes four short double-helical elements and three loops (D, anti-codon, and T loops). Lineage: Eukaryota; Metazoa; Chordata; Actinopteri; Clupeiformes; Clupeidae. The record is from RNAcentral.
UAGGAAGUGGUGUAGUGGAAGCACACAGAGUUUUGAUCUCUGGAGGACGGGUUCGAGUCCCUUCUUUCUAA